This 468-nucleotide ribosomal RNA is filed under the name uncultured bacterium. Its description in RNAcentral is "partial 16S ribosomal RNA". It matches the Rfam family "Bacterial small subunit ribosomal RNA", at positions 28 to 507 of the family's 1533-position model. The record is from RNAcentral.
GACGAACGCUGGCGGCGUGCUUAACACAUGCAAGUCGAACGGAAAGGCCCUGCUUUUGUGGGGUGCUCGAGUGGCGAACGGGUGAGUAACACGUGAGUAACCUGCCCUUGACUUUGGGAUAACUUCAGGAAACUGGGGCUAAUACCGGAUAGGAGCUCCUGCUGCAUGGUGGGGGUUGGAAAGUUUCGGCGGUUGGGGAUGGACUCGCGGCUUAUCAGCUUGUUGGUGGGGUAGUGGCUUACCAAGGCGUUGACGGGUAGCCGGCCUGAGAGGGUGACCGGCCACGUUGGGACUGAGAUACGGCCCAGACUCCUACGGGAGGCAGCAGUGGGGAAUAGUGCACAAUGGGCGGAAGCCUGAUGCAGCAACGCCGCGUGCGGGAUGACAGCCUUCGGGUUGUAAACCGCUUUCGCCUGUGACGAAGCGUGAGUGACGGUAAUGGGUAAAGAAGCACCGGCUAACUACGUG